Molecule: ribosomal RNA, 253 nt
Filed under: uncultured bacterium
Lineage: Bacteria
Description: partial 16S ribosomal RNA
Rfam family: Bacterial small subunit ribosomal RNA
Source: RNAcentral
UACGUAGGGGGCUAGCGUUGUCCGGAAUCAUUGGGCGUAAAGAGCGUGUAGGCGGUCCGGUAAGUCCGCUGUGAAAGUCGGGGGCUCAACCCUCGAAUGCCGGCCGAUACUGUCGGACUAGAGUCCGGAAGAGGCAAGUGGAAUUCCCGGUGUAGCGGUGAAAUGCGCAGAUAUCGGGAGGAACACCAAUGGCGAAGGCAGCUUGCUGGGACGGUACUGACGCUGAGGCGCGAAAGCGUGGGGAGCAAACAGG